This 609-nucleotide long non-coding RNA is filed under the name Coturnix japonica (Japanese quail). Its description in RNAcentral is "lncRNA (ENSCJPG00005003397.1)". The record is from RNAcentral. Lineage: Eukaryota; Metazoa; Chordata; Aves; Galliformes; Phasianidae.
CUUGCUUCUUUAUUCUUUCCUAUACACUGAAAUCAUGCUGGUGGCUGGAUUUUGCUGCAUGCCUUCCUUUCUGCCUAGAUUGGAUCCACAGGCCUCGCAGUCUGAGUGCACUACAGCCAGGAGCCCUGAUCCUGAGCAGUUAAUGGGAUUCUGAUUAGGCUUGACUUUUCAAGCAACAAAACUUACAAACAAUGUUGGUAACUCCUCCAUGUACUACUGUCAGUGGUAAGUGGAAAUGUUAAAAGUGGAAGUUAUUGGUUAUUUUAUUUUUGUAUGAAUAAGGCAUCAACAAAUAAGGAAUAUUCUCCUUGCUUUGUAGAUGAAUUGUAUUGAAGAGGCAUAAAAAAACCCAGAACAACAACAACAAUCAAAAAACAUGCAAAACUGAAAUAGAAGGAAACAUCUUUCUAGAUUAUAAAUAUAAUUUCCACAUGAAUGUAAAGGGGACCAAAAAAAAAAAAAUAGUCUUCAAAAGAUGACAGCUGAUGGAGAGAUGCCCUUCAGAUAAAAAAAAAAUGAAAUCAUGGUUAAAAUUCCUUGUUAACUCCUGAGCAGCAAAUUGUUUGAGAUACCUGACAAUCAUUCUAGUCUCUUCAUAUUCUUCUGAAC